UAGUCAUAUGCUUGUCUCAAAGAUUAAGCCAUGCAUGUCUAAGUAUAAACUGCUUAUACUGUGAAACUGCGAAUGGCUCAUUAAAUCAGUUAUAGUUUAUUUGAUGGUACCUACUACUCGGAUAACCGUAGUAAUUCUAGAGCUAAUACGUGCGCAAAUCCCGACUUCUGGAAGGGACGUAUUUAUUAGAUUAAAGGCCAGCCGGGCUCUGCCCGACCUGCGGUGAAUCAUGAUAACUUCACGAAUCGCAUGGCCUUGUGCCGGCGAUGUUUCAUUC
This 277-nucleotide ribosomal RNA is filed under the name uncultured eukaryote. RNAcentral describes it as "partial 18S ribosomal RNA". It matches the Rfam family "Eukaryotic small subunit ribosomal RNA", at positions 21 to 300 of the family's 1831-position model. The record is from RNAcentral.